This 776-nucleotide ribosomal RNA is filed under the name Bacillus sp. N31(2008). Its description in RNAcentral is "bacterial SSU rRNA". It matches the Rfam family "Bacterial small subunit ribosomal RNA", at positions 45 to 804 of the family's 1533-position model. Lineage: Bacteria; Bacillati; Bacillota; Bacilli; Caryophanales; Bacillaceae. The record is from RNAcentral.
UGCCUAAUACAUGCAAGUCGAGCGGACAGAUGGGAGCUUGCUCCCUGAAGUCAGCGGCGGACGGGUGAGUAACACGUGGGCAACCUGCCUGUAAGACUGGGAUAACUCCGGGAAACCGGGGCUAAUACCGGAUAAUUCUUUCCCUCACAUGAGGGAAAGCUGAAAGAUGGUUUCGGCUAUCACUUACAGAUGGGCCCGCGGCGCAUUAGCUAGUUGGUGAGGUAACGGCUCACCAAGGCAACGAUGCGUAGCCGACCUGAGAGGGUGAUCGGCCACACUGGGACUGAGACACGGCCCAGACUCCUACGGGAGGCAGCAGUAGGGAAUCUUCCGCAAUGGACGAAAGUCUGACGGAGCAACGCCGCGUGAGUGAUGAAGGUUUUCGGAUCGUAAAACUCUGUUGUUAGGGAAGAACAAGUACCGGAGUAACUGCCGGUACCUUGACGGUACCUAACCAGAAAGCCACGGCUAACUACGUGCCAGCAGCCGCGGUAAUACGUAGGUGGCAAGCGUUGUCCGGAAUUAUUGGGCGUAAAGCGCGCGCAGGCGGUUCCUUAAGUCUGAUGUGAAAGCCCCCGGCUCAACCGGGGAGGGUCAUUGGAAACUGGGGAACUUGAGUGCAGAAGAGAAGAGUGGAAUUCCACGUGUAGCGGUGAAAUGCGUAGAGAUGUGGAGGAACACCAGUGGCGAAGGCGACUCUUUGGUCUGUAACUGACGCUGAGGCGCGAAAGCGUGGGGAGCAAACAGGAUUAGAUACCCUGGUAGUCCACGCCGUA